Molecule: small nucleolar RNA, 124 nt
Filed under: Myotis lucifugus (little brown bat)
Lineage: Eukaryota; Metazoa; Chordata; Mammalia; Chiroptera; Vespertilionidae
Description: Small nucleolar RNA SNORA61 (ENSMLUG00000030551.1)
Source: RNAcentral
ACCCAGCUGUAUUCAGCUGAAUCCAGCUGUGUAAAAAUACAUAGAACAUGGUCAUAAAGGAGGAGAAGUAAUAAUGAAGCUGGCCUCACAGUGCUUGUAGUCUGUGGGCUAGUUUCAAACAAGG